AUGUCAGCAGCCGCGCGGUAAUACGGAGGGUGCAAGCGUUACUCGGAAUCACUGGGCGUAAAGCGCGCGCAGGCGGCUAGAUAAGUUGGAAGUGAAAUCCUAUGGCUCAACCAUAGAACUGCUUCCAAAACUGUUUAGCUAGAGUCUGGGAGGGGAAGAUGGAAUUAGUAGUGUAGGGGUAAAAUCCGUAGAGAUUACUAGGAAUACCAAAAGCGAAGGCGAUCUUCUGGAACAGUACUGACGCUGAGGCGCGAAAGCGUGGGGAGCAAACAGGAUUAGAUACCCUGGUAGUCCACGCCCUAAACGAUGAAUGUUAGUCGUCGGGACUCUAGUAGUUUCGGUGAUGCAGUUAACACAUUAAACAUUCCGCCUGGGGAGUACGGUCGCAAGAUUAAAACUCAAAGGAAUAGACGGGGACCCGCACAAGUGGUGGAGCAUGUGGUUUAAUUCGAAGAUACGCGAAGAACCUUACCUAGCCUUGACAUAUUUUAGAACUCCGCAGAGAUGUAGAGGUGCCUUCGGGAGCUAAUAUACAGGUGCUGCACGGCUGUCGUCAGCUCGUGUCGUGAGAUGUUGGGUUAAGUCCCGCAACGAGUGCAACCCUCGUUCUUAGUUACUAACGGUUCGGCCGAGGACUCUAAGAAGACUGCCUUCGUAAGGAGGAGGAAGGUGAGGACGACGUCAAGUCAUCAUGGCCCUUACGGCUAGGGCAACACACGUGCUACAAUGGUUAGGACAAUGAGACGCAAUACCGCGAGGUGGAGCAAAUCCAUAAACCUAAUCUCAGUUCGGAUUGUAGUCUGCAACUCGACUACAUGAAGCUGGAAUCACUAGUAAUCGUAGAUCAGCUAUGCUACGG
This 859-nucleotide ribosomal RNA is filed under the name uncultured Sulfurovum sp. Its description in RNAcentral is "bacterial SSU rRNA". It matches the Rfam family "Bacterial small subunit ribosomal RNA", at positions 505 to 1362 of the family's 1533-position model. Lineage: Bacteria; Pseudomonadati; Campylobacterota; Epsilonproteobacteria; Campylobacterales; Sulfurovaceae. The record is from RNAcentral.